UACCAGACUCCUACGGGAGGCAGCAGUGAGGAAUAUUGGUCAAUGGGCGCGAGCCUGAACCAGCCAAGUCGCGUGAGGGAUGAAGGAUCUAUGGUUCGUAAACCUCUUUUAUAAGGGAAUAAAGUGCGGGACGCGUCCCGCUUCGCAUGUACCUUAUGAAUAAGGAUCGGCUAACUCCGUGCCAGCAGCCGCGGUAAUACGGAGGAUGCGAGCGUUAUCCGGAUUUAUUGGGUUUAAAGGGUGCGCAGGCGGUCUGUUAGGUCAGCGGUCAAAGCCCGGGGCUCACCCCCGGUCCGCCGUUGAAACUGGCAGUCUCGAGUUGGAGAGAAGUAUGCGGAAUGCGCGGUGUAGCGGUGAAAUGCAUAGAUAUCGCGCAGAACUCCGAUUGCGAAGGCAGCAUGCCGGCUCCACACUGACGCUGAGGCACGAAAGCGUGGGUAUCGAACAGGAUUAGAUACCCUGGUA
Molecule: ribosomal RNA, 465 nt
Filed under: uncultured bacterium
Lineage: Bacteria
Description: bacterial SSU rRNA
Rfam family: Bacterial small subunit ribosomal RNA
Source: RNAcentral